GAUGAAGAACGCAGCAAAAUGCGAUAAGUAAUGUGAAUUGCAGAAUUCAGUGAAUCAUCGAAUCUUUGAACGCACAUUGCGCCCGCCAGUAUUCUGGCGGGCAUGCCUGUUCGAGCGUCAUUUCAACCCUCAAGCACAGCUUGGUGUUGGGACUCGCGUUAAUUCGCGUUCCCCAAAUUGAUUGGCGGUCACGUCGAGCUUCCAUAGCGUAGUAGUAAAACCCUCGUUACUGGUAAUCGUCGCGGCCACGCCGUUAAACCCCAACUUCUGAAUGUUGACCUCGGAUCAGUUAGGAAUACCCGCUGAACUUAAGCAUAUCAAUAAGCGGAGGA
RNAcentral lists this unclassified non-coding RNA (332 nucleotides) under soil metagenome. Its description in RNAcentral is "partial contains 5.8S ribosomal RNA, internal transcribed spacer 2, and large subunit ribosomal RNA". The stretch from base 1 to 120 matches the Rfam family "5.8S ribosomal RNA", at positions 35 to 154 of the family's 154-position model. The record is from RNAcentral.